AAAAAAUCGUCUCUACUAUUCUGCAGAAAAAUGAGCUUUUUGGACAAGAAAUUGACAAUACAAUUUCUGCUGAGGAAUCUGGAAUUUAAUCCGCGCUGAUCUCUACUAUUUUUAUUUAAAAAAGGAAAGAGACUCGCUGAAAAUUCAGUUUUAAUGACACUAAAUAACGACGAUUACGUGUUGACAAAGAUUGAUUCAUAUCAUAACUAGUCAUAACUAUCAUCAUUGAAUCAUUAUAAAACUUGUUGAUUAUAGUUAUGAGUUUAUGUGUUCAGUUAUAUAUAUAUAUAUAAAUGUAAAUAUAAUUUCUGCAAUUGUAUAGAGCAAUUAUGAUAAUGAGAAAGACAAAUAAAUCUGUGAAUAGUUUCCUAUUAUUAAUUUGUAAAGGACUACAUUGUUUAUUUUAA
This is a long non-coding RNA of Centruroides sculpturatus (bark scorpion), 407 nucleotides long. RefSeq lists it as uncharacterized. The record is from RefSeq and is a predicted model, not a curated record. Lineage: Eukaryota; Metazoa; Arthropoda; Arachnida; Scorpiones; Buthidae. The transcript is spliced from 3 exons.